RNAcentral lists this ribosomal RNA (617 nucleotides) under uncultured Sordariomycetes. Its description in RNAcentral is "eukaryotic LSU rRNA". The stretch from base 257 to 410 matches the Rfam family "5.8S ribosomal RNA". The record is from RNAcentral. Lineage: Eukaryota; Fungi; Ascomycota; Sordariomycetes.
CUUGGUCAUUUAGAGGAAGUAAAAGUCGUAACAAGGUUUCCGUAGGUGAACCUGCGGAAGGAUCAUUAAUGUAACCGGACCGGUCCUCUGCCGUAAAACGCAGCGGAUGGGAAUGGGAGAUAUCAUACACCCUAUGUUUAUUUACUUUUGUUGCUUUGGCGGGCCGUCCUUUUAGGCGUCGGCCCCGGCUGAUCGCGCCCGCCAGAGGACCCAAACUCUUUUAUCAGUGAUGUCUGAGUACUAUAAUAAUAGUUAAAACUUUCAACAACGGAUCUCUUGGUUCUGGCAUCGAUGAAGAACGCAGCGAAAUGCGAUAAGUAAUGUGAAUUGCAGAAUUCAGUGAAUCAUCGAAUCUUUGAACGCACAUUGCGCCCGCUGGUAUUCCGGCGGGCAUGCCUGUUCGAGCGUCAUUAUGACCAAUCAAGCUCUGCUUGGCCUUGGGGCCCGCUGUACCGGCGGCCCUUAAAAUCAGUGGCGGUGCCGUCUGGCUCUAAGCGUAGUAAUACUUCUCGCUACAGGGUCCAGCCGUCCACCCGCCAGAACCCCCAACUUUCUUAGGUUGACCUCGGAUCAGGUAGGGAUACCCGCUGAACUUAAGCAUAUCAAUAAGCGGAGGA